This 64-nucleotide transfer RNA is filed under the name Lucanus cervus. RNAcentral describes it as "tRNA-Thr". It matches the Rfam family "tRNA". From Rfam's summary of the family: Transfer RNA (tRNA) molecules are approximately 80 nucleotides in length. The record is from RNAcentral. RNAcentral also lists the same sequence under 1 other name. Lineage: Eukaryota; Metazoa; Arthropoda; Insecta; Coleoptera; Lucanidae.
GUUCUUGUAAUUUAAUGCAAAAUAUUGGUCUUGUAAACCAAAACUAAGAAUUUCUUCUAGAACA